AGAGUUUGAUCCUGGCUCAGAACGAACGCUGGCGGCGUGGAUAAGACAUGCAAGUCGAACGAGAGAAUUGCUAGCUUGCUAAUAAUUCUCUAGUGGCGCACGGGUGAGUAACACGUGAGUAACCUGCCCCCGAGAGCGGGAUAGCCCUGGGAAACUGGGAUUAAUACCGCAUAGUAUCGAAAGAUUAAAGCAGCAAUGCGCUUGGGGAUGGGCUCGCGGCCUAUUAGUUAGUUGGUGAGGUAACGGCUCACCAAGGCGAUGACGGGUAGCCGGUCUGAGAGGAUGUCCGGCCACACUGGAACUGAGACACGGUCCAGACACCUACGGGUGGCAGCAGUCGAGAAUCAUUCACAAUGGGGGAAACCCUGAUGGUGCGACGCCGCGUGGGGGAAUGAAGGUCUUCGGAUUGUAAACCCCUGUCAUGUGGGAGCAAAUUAAAAAGAUAGUACCACAAGAGGAAGAGACGGCUAACUCUGUGCCAGCAGCCGCGGUAAUACAGAGGUCUCAAGCGUUGUUCGGAAUCACUGGGCGUAAAGCGUGCGUAGGCUGUUUCGUAAGUCGUGUGUGAAAGGCGCGGGCUCAACCCGCGGACGGCACAUGAUACUGCGAGACUAGAGUAAUGGAGGGGGAACCGGAAUUCUCGGUGUAGCAGUGAAAUGCGUAGAUAUCGAGAGGAACACUCGUGGCGAAGGCGGGUUCCUGGACAUUAACUGACGCUGAGGCACGAAGGCCAGGGGAGCGAAAGGGAUUAGAUACCCCUGUAGUCCUGGCAGUAAACGGUGCACGCUUGGUGUGCGGGGAAUCGACCCCCUGCGUGCCGGAGCUAACGCGUUAAGCGUGCCGCCUGGGGAGUACGGUCGCAAGAUUAAAACUCAAAGAAAUUGACGGGGACCCGCACAAGCGGUGGAGUAUGUGGCUUAAUUCGAUGCAACGCGAAGAACCUUACCUGGGCUUGACAUGUAAUGAACAACAUGUGAAAGCAUGCGACUCUUCGGAGGCGUUACACAGGUGCUGCAUGGCCGUCGUCAGCUCGUGUCGUGAGAUGUUUGGUUAAGUCCAGCAACGAGCGCAACCCCUGUUGCCAGUUACCAGCACGUGAAGGUGGGGACUCUGGCGAGACUGCCCAGAUCAACUGGGAGGAAGGUGGGGACGACGUCAGGUCAGUAUGGCCCUUAUGCCCAGGGCUGCACACGUACUACAAUGCCCAGUACAGAGGGGGCCGGAGCCGCGAGGCGGAGGAAAUCCUAAAAACUGGGCCCAGUUCGGACUGUAGGCUGCAACCCGCCUACACGAAGCCGGAAUCGCUAGUAAUGGCGCAUCAGCUACGGCGCCGUGAAUACGUUCCCGGGUCUUGCACACACCGCCCGUCA
Molecule: ribosomal RNA, 1370 nt
Filed under: uncultured bacterium
Lineage: Bacteria
Description: bacterial SSU rRNA
Rfam family: Bacterial small subunit ribosomal RNA
Source: RNAcentral